AUUGAACGCUGGCGGCAGGCCUAACACAUGCAAGUCGAGCGGAUGAAGGGAGCUUGCUCCUGGAUUCAGCGGCGGACGGGUGAGUAAUGCCUAGGAAUCUGCCUGGUAGUGGGGGAUAACGUCCGGAAACGGGCGCUAAUACCGCAUACGUCCUGAGGGAGAAAGUGGGGGAUCUUCGGACCUCACGCUAUCAGAUGAGCCUAGGUCGGAUUAGCUAGUUGGUGGGGUAAAGGCCUACCAAGGCGACGAUCCGUAACUGGUCUGAGAGGAUGAUCAGUCACACUGGAACUGGGACACGGUCCAGACUCCUACGGGAGGCAGCAGUGGGGAAUAUUGGACAAUGGGCGAAAGCCUUAUCCAGCCAUGCCGCGUGUGUGAAGAAGGUCUUCGGAUUGUAAAGCACUUUAAGUUGGGAGGAAGGGCAGUAAGUUAAUACCUUGCUGUUUUGACGUUACCAACAGAAUAAGCACCGGCUAACUUCGUG
Molecule: ribosomal RNA, 484 nt
Filed under: uncultured bacterium
Lineage: Bacteria
Description: partial 16S ribosomal RNA
Rfam family: Bacterial small subunit ribosomal RNA
Source: RNAcentral